RNAcentral lists this ribosomal RNA (254 nucleotides) under uncultured bacterium. RNAcentral describes it as "partial 16S ribosomal RNA". It matches the Rfam family "Bacterial small subunit ribosomal RNA", at positions 524 to 776 of the family's 1533-position model. The record is from RNAcentral.
UACAGAGGGGGCUAGCGUUGUUCGGAAUCACUGGGUGUAAAGGGUGCGUAGGCGGUGUGUCGCGUCGGUCGUGAAAACUUGGGGCUUAACCCUGAGCUUGCGGUCGAUACGGGCAUCACUGGAGUUCGGCAGGGGAGACUGGAAUUCCUGGUGUAGCGGUGAAAUGCGCAGAUAUCAGGAGGAACACCGGUGGCGAAGGCGGUUCUCUGGGACGGUACUGACGCUGAGACGCGAAAGCGUGGGGAGCGAACAGG